Molecule: ribosomal RNA, 427 nt
Filed under: uncultured Aeromonas sp.
Lineage: Bacteria; Pseudomonadati; Pseudomonadota; Gammaproteobacteria; Aeromonadales; Aeromonadaceae
Description: bacterial SSU rRNA
Rfam family: Bacterial small subunit ribosomal RNA
Source: RNAcentral
AGUGGGGAAUAUUGCACAAUGGGGGAAACCCUGAUGCAGCCAUGCCGCGUGUGUGAAGAAGGCCUUCGGGUUGUAAAGCACUUUCAGCGAGGAGGAAAGGUCAGUAGCUAAUAUCUGCUGGCUGUGACGUUACUCGCAGAAGAAGCACCGGCUAACUCCGUGCCAGCAGCCGCGGUAAUACGGAGGGUGCAAGCGUUAAUCGGAAUUACUGGGCGUAAAGCGCACGCAGGCGGUUGGAUAAGUUAGAUGUGAAAGCCCCGGGCUCAACCUGGGAAUUGCAUUUAAAACUGUCCAGCUAGAGUCUUGUAGAGGGGGGUAGAAUUCCAGGUGUAGCGGUGAAAUGCGUAGAGAUCUGGAGGAAUACCGGUGGCGAAGGCGGCCCCCUGGACAAAGACUGACGCUCAGGUGCGAAAGCGUGGGGAGCAAA